GAACUUCCGGUGGAGCUUUCAUGGCGGCAGGACAGACUUGAUGAGGGCUCUCAGCAAGCCUCCGCUAUCUGGCGAUCGGGUAGAGCUGUGGGCUCCCCUCUUCUCAUGGAUCGAAGUGAGAAGGGACGCAAGGCCCGGAAAGCACCGUUUGAUCCGACCCUUGAGACAAACCGAGGGGAACGGGUCCGGUAGCUGAGGGAGCGCGGAUCGCGACAGCGGCAGCAGGCGUUGAGCCUGCACUAACUGCCAGCCUAGCUCCAAUUUUAACUAUCCCAAGGAAAAGACAGAUGGCAGAAGAAUGGACGGGAACUCCGCCAGGAUGUCUUUUGCGAAGCAAUGGAAAAUGGAGGAAAUUCCGAAAAAAGAACUAUGGCUAUACAAAUUAGAAGAGAUAAAAAACAUGGACAAACUUACGUUCCUUCUGAAAGAAACCAAAGGAAAAUACACUAGAAGCAUGAAUUGGAACAAAUUGGAAGAAUAUCUUAAGAAAUGAACUGAAACAUACUUGAAAACGAUAUAAAUAGACAUUAGAAAUUUGAAUACAGUGUUAAAAUGACUAGAAGGCAAAAAAAUGGAAGAUUACUUCCCUUGUUGUUAACGUUCCCUGAAUUUUGUUACUACCCUUGAUGUGACCCCCGAUACCCCUUCCCUCACCUCCCCCCCCUUUUUUUUAGCUUUCCUCCCUCACUCCCCCCGCCCUUGGUUCUUAGGUUCUUAUUUUCUUUCCUUAUAUUGUGAUCCUUAUGUCUCUCACUUGUAUCCCCGUUUUUAAAAGUGUGCACUGUAUUUUAAAAACUAUAAAUAAAAAUUUAAAAAAUAAAAUAAAAGCUUAACAAAAAUUAGGAGCAUGGGGUUUUUGAUGGCUUUAUUUAUCUGCGCAGCCUAUAGGUCACUUUUCCCACCCGUUUCAGCAAUUCAUGCUUGCACUAAAAGUUAUUCACUGGCAUGUAUCAACACACUGACCCAGAACAAUGGAUUUGCCAACAUACUGGCUUCUUCUUAAUGGCAUCAAGUUGUGUUUAAGUAGCUUCUUAAAAAACAAACAAACACUGUCACAUCAACAAAGGCCAACUACUAAAAUGCUAAACUUCAUAUACAUAAAAAUAAAGUGUAUGCAUUAAAAGAAGCCCAAGCUCUCCCACAUAAGGUCAUU
RNAcentral lists this long non-coding RNA (1153 nucleotides) under Anolis carolinensis (green anole). RNAcentral's name for it is "lncRNA (ENSACAG00000043668.1)". The record is from RNAcentral. Lineage: Eukaryota; Metazoa; Chordata; Lepidosauria; Squamata; Anolidae.